UUAAGUUAGAAAGGGCGCACGGUGGAUGCCUUGACACUAGGAGUCGAUGAAGGACGGGACUAACGCCGAUAUGCUUCGGGGAGCUGUAAGUAAGCUUUGAUCCGAAGAUUUCCGAAUGGGGAAACCCACCAUACGUAAUGGUAUGGUAUCCUUAUCUGAAUACAUAGGGUAAGGAAGACAGACCCAGGGAACUGAAACAUCUAAGUACCUGGAGGAAGAGAAAGCAAAUGCGAUUUCCUGAGUAGCGGCGAGCGAAACGGAACAUAGCCCAAACCAAGAGGCUUGCCUCUUGGGGUUGUAGGACAUUCUAUACGGAGUUACAAAGGAACGAGGUAGACGAAGCGACCUGGAAAGGUCCGUCGUAGAGGGUAACAACCCCGUAGUCGAAACUUCGUUCUCUCUUGAAUGUAUCCUGAGUACGGCGGAACACGUGAAAUUCCGUCGGAAUCUGGGAGGACCAUCUCCCAAGGCUAAAUACUCCCUAGUGAUCGAUAGUGAACCAGUACCGUGAGGGAAAGGUGAAAAGCACCCCGGAAGGGGGAGUGAAAGAGAUCCUGAAACCGUGUGCCUACAAAUAGUCAGAGCCCGUUAACGGGUGAUGGCGUGCCUUUUGUAGAAUGAACCGGCGAGUUACGAUCCCGUGCGAGGUUAAGCUGAAGAGGCGGAGCCGCAGCGAAAGCGAGUCUGAAUAGGGCGUUUAGUACGUGGUCGUAGACCCGAAACCAGGUGAUCUACCCAUGUCCAGGGUGAAGUUCAGGUAACACUGAAUGGAGGCCCGAACCCACGCACGUUGAAAAGUGCGGGGAUGAGGUGUGGGUAGCGGAGAAAUUCCAAUCGAACCUGGAGAUAGCUGGUUCUCCCCGAAAUAGCUUUAGGGCUAGCCUUAAGUGUAAGAGUCUUGGAGGUAGAGCACUGAUUGGACUAGGGGGUCCUCAUCGGAUUACCGAAUUCAGUCAAACUCCGAAUGCCAAUGACUUAUCCUUAGGAGUCAGACUGCGAGUGAUAAGAUCCGUAGUCAAAAGGGAAACAGCCCAGACCGCCAGCUAAGGUCCCAAAGUGUGUAUUAAGUGGAAAAGGAUGUGGAGUUGCUUAGACAACUAGGAUGUUGGCUUAGAAGCAGCCACCAUUUAAAGAGUGCGUAAUAGCUCACUAGUCGAGUGACUCUGCGCCGAAAAUGUACCGGGGCUAAAUACACCACCGAAGCUGCGGAUUGAUACCAAUGGUAUCAGUGGUAGGGGAGCGUUCUAAGGACAGUGAAGUCAGACCGGAAGGACUGGUGGAGUGCUUAGAAGUGAGAAUGCCGGUAUGAGUAGCGAAAGACGGGUGAGAAUCCCGUCCACCGAAUGCCUAAGGUUUCCUGAGGAAGGCUCGUCCGCUCAGGGUUAGUCAGGACCUAAGCCGAGGCCGACAGGCGUAGGCGAUGGACAACAGGUUGAUAUUCCUGUACCACCUCUUUAUCGUUUGAGCAAUGGAGGGACGCAGAAGGAUAGAAGAAGCGUGCGAUUGGUUGUGCACGUCCAAGCAGUUAGGCUGAUAAGUAGGCAAAUCCGCUUAUCGUGAAGGCUGAGCUGUGAUGGGGAAGCUCCUUAUGGAGCGAAGUCUUUGAUUCCCCGCUGCCAAGAAAAGCUUCUAGCGAGAUAAAAGGUGCCUGUACCGCAAACCGACACAGGUAGGCGAGGAGGGAAUCCUAAGGUGUGCGAGAGAACUCUGGUUAAGGAACUCGGCAAAAUGACCCCGUAACUUCGGGAGAAGGGGUGCUUUCUUAACGGAAAGCCGCAGUGAAUAGGCCCAAGCGACUGUUUAGCAAAAACACAGCUCUCUGCGAAGCCGUAAGGCGAAGUAUAGGGGGUGACACCUGCCCGGUGCUGGAAGGUUAAGGAGAGGGGUUAGCGUAAGCGAAGCUCUGAACUGAAGCCCCAGUAAACGGCGGCCGUAACUAUAACGGUCCUAAGGUAGCGAAAUUCCUUGUCGGGUAAGUUCCGACCCGCACGAAAGGUGUAACGAUUUGGGCACUGUCUCAACCAGAGACUCGGUGAAAUUAUAGUACCUGUGAAGAUGCAGGUUACCCGCGACAGGACGGAAAGACCCCGUGGAGCUUUACUGUAGCCUGAUAUUGAAUUUUGGUACAGUUUGUACAGGAUAGGCGGGAGCCUUUGAAACCGGAGCGCUAGCUUCGGUGGAGGCGCUGGUGGGAUACCGCCCUGACUGUAUUGAAAUUCUAACCUACGGGUCUUAUCGACCCGGGAGACAGUGUCAGGUGGGCAGUUUGACUGGGGCGGUCGCCUCCUAAAGUGUAACGGAGGCGCCCAAAGGUUCCCUCAGAAUGGUUGGAAAUCAUUCGUAGAGUGCAAAGGCAUAAGGGAGCUUGACUGCGAGACCUACAAGUCGAGCAGGGACGAAAGUCGGGCUUAGUGAUCCGGUGGUUCCGCAUGGAAGGGCCAUCGCUCAACGGAUAAAAGCUACCCCGGGGAUAACAGGCUUAUCUCCCCCAAGAGUCCACAUCGACGGGGAGGUUUGGCACCUCGAUGUCGGCUCAUCGCAUCCUGGGGCUGUAGUCGGUCCCAAGGGUUGGGCUGUUCGCCCAUUAAAGCGGUACGCGAGCUGGGUUCAGAACGUCGUGAGACAGUUCGGUCCCUAUCCGUCGUGGGCGUAGGAAAUUUGAGAGGAGCUGUCCUUAGUACGAGAGGACCGGGAUGGACGCACCGCUGGUGUACCAGUUGUUCUGCCAAGGGCAUAGCUGGGUAGCUAUGUGCGGAAGGGAUAAGUGCUGAAAGCAUCUAAGCAUGAAGCCCCCCUCAAGAUGAGAUUUCCCAUAGCGUAAGCUAGUAAGAUCCCUGAAAGAUGAUCAGGUUGAUAGGUUCGAGGUGGAAGCAUGGUGACAUGUGGAGCUGACGAAUACUAAUAGAUCGAGGACUUAACCAU
RNAcentral lists this ribosomal RNA (2922 nucleotides) under Bacillus anthracis str. Vollum. RNAcentral describes it as "bacterial LSU rRNA". It matches the Rfam family "Bacterial large subunit ribosomal RNA". Lineage: Bacteria; Bacillati; Bacillota; Bacilli; Caryophanales; Bacillaceae. The record is from RNAcentral.